This is a long non-coding RNA of Hemicordylus capensis (graceful crag lizard), 795 nucleotides long. RefSeq lists it as uncharacterized. The transcript is spliced from 3 exons. Lineage: Eukaryota; Metazoa; Chordata; Lepidosauria; Squamata; Cordylidae. The record is from RefSeq and is a predicted model, not a curated record.
AACACAAAACUCGAACCGGUUGAUAGUUCAGGAAAUAUUUGGCUUUAUAGCAAAAACAGUGUCAAAUGACUGAAGAGCCAAACUGUAGUAUAAUGGGAAAUCAGAGCGAGAGGAUAAGAAAAAGCCAUAAAGUGAAAACCAAAAAAUCCAAUUGAAUAGGAGAUGAAUCGCUUGUGAAGCGAACAACUGAAAGGAGUAACAUAACUAUGAAAAAGAUACAAAGCGUAGGCAGACAAGUUCUGGACAAAGACCAGAAGUUUAAGGUGAAAAGGGUGAAUGCAAAAAGCAGAGCAUUACAUUAAUCAAGAUGAGACACGAUUAAACACUGAGCAAGCAUUUUUGUAGUAGAAGCAGAUGGAAAAUGAUUAAUUUUAGCAACAUGGAAAAGGGGGGGAAUGGCAAGAUCUGGCAACAAAAUCCAUCUGGUGGGAAAUAAGUAGGAAUGGAAGACGACACUGAGACUGUGACAGGAUCAGAGCAGUGCAACACGAAACCUCAUCAGAAGCAGUAAAAAAAGCUGAGAUGGAUGAUUUAGAAGCUAAGGCCAGGGGUUGGGCCAAUUCCACCACAGACCUUAGAAGAAGGAGAAGGACUUCGAGGACUUCACAACUUCAAAGGCUGCAUCUGAUCAAGUAUGGAUGCUUGACCCACCUUCACCCUUCUCUUCAGCAGAGCCUUGCUCUCCAGGUUUAAGGUUGAGGCCUUACAACACAGCACUGCAGUUUGAGGGUCAUCUAUGAACACCCUGGACCUCUGCUCUCAGGGCCCCAAAUGGCUGCUAUAAACUCCUUGUUU